RNAcentral lists this ribosomal RNA (741 nucleotides) under uncultured Glomus. Its description in RNAcentral is "partial 28S ribosomal RNA". The record is from RNAcentral. Lineage: Eukaryota; Fungi; Glomeromycota; Glomeromycetes; Glomerales; Glomeraceae.
UACGUCAACAUCCUUAACGAAUUUAAUCCGUUCUAACCUUUUGACCGUACACUAUAAUACCAUAAGCAAGCUUUCGGCACCAGAGUGACAUGUCAGAGGCCAGGCGAAUAGCCCAUGAGGGUAUUCAUUGCAAUCCUCGAUCCCAUCCGUUACAUCUACCAAAGGCUAUAACACUUCAAUACGAGAUCGAAGCUACAUUCCUCCGGUCAUUUUAUAACGGUCGAAACCGACGUUGACCUACAAUACGAGAAAGUGCACCCAAAAAGAGCAGGUUGUGAAAAACAAAGGCACUCUGAAUCCCACAAUUCCACCCUCAAAAGGUUGAUUCCCCGUUAGUACGACUGACUUUAAUCGUUUCCCUUUCAACAAUUUCACGUACUGUUUAACUCUCUUUUCAAAGUUCUUUUCAUCUUUCCCUCACGGUACUUGUUCGCUAUCGGUCUCUCGCCUAUAUUUAGCCUUAGGAGAAAUUUACCUCCCAUUUUGAGCUGCAAUCCCAAACAACUCGACUCUUAGAAAACGUAUCGUAGAGCACAUUUGAUUAGGCCGGACGGGAUUCUCACCCUCCAUGAUACCCUAUCCCAAAGGAUUUGGGCUAAAUCAAACACGCAGAAAACGCUUCUUCAAAUUACAACUCGGUUAGGUAAGACCCAACAGAUUUAAAAUUUGAGCUAUUCCCUCUUCGCUCGCCGCUACUAGGGGAAUCAUUGUUAUUUUCUUUUCCUCCGCUUAUUGAUAUCG